GCUCCUGUGGCACAAUGGGUCAGUGCAUCUGGCUGUUGACCAGAAGGUCAGUGGUUCAAGUCAAGGGAUG
This is a non-coding RNA of Podarcis lilfordi (Lilford's wall lizard), 70 nucleotides long. NCBI's taxonomy places the organism in Eukaryota, Metazoa, Chordata, Lepidosauria, Squamata, Lacertidae. The record is from the annotation of a GenBank genome assembly.